GCGCGGGCCUCUGGGUUCCGAGGGUGCUGGUGACCUGAGAAGAAGGGAGGGGACAGAGGAGGAGACACACCUGAUCAGCCCGGGAGACUUUGGAGGAGGCGGGCCGGCCGGGAGGAAGUGGCGGGGAGGAGGGACCGGAGCACCCCAGGAUCGAAGAGGGCGCACGGGCCCGGCCCUCCCACGCGCCCUCCAGGGACCCGGCAGCCAGACAGACGGACAGGCGGACCGCUAGGGAGCUCAAGUACCCGGACACACGCACGAGCGCAGAACAAAGGGCCGGACAUGCUCCAGCCCGCUCCGCCUGCGCCUCGGCCUUGCGCGCGGGGGCCCGGGUUACCUGCGCAGGAAAUCAUUUCCAUUUCGUGGCGGGAAGGUAACCCAAAAGUUGCGUGGCUGCACCUGUGAUAACAGGGAUCCGGGAUGUCUGCCUCACUGUCAGCUCCGGGAAGCCCUCCCUGCUGUCAGGAGCCAGCUGUGAUGUAAAGAAGUUUGUGCUGCAUGAGAGAGAUAGCACCUGAAGAAAAUGAGGCCCUGGAGGAUGAGAGACUCUAAAGGAAAAGGGAAGGGCCUGCUGUCUUCCAGCCACGCCAGCCCCCAACUGAGAAGCUGGUGCCCUUGGUGUGGUGGAAGCAAGGUGCCAUGUGAUAAGUAAGCCUCCAGAGAGGCCUGCAUGGCAGGAUCCAAUGUCUUUAGCCAACAGCAUCUGGGAACCUGAGACCUGCCAACACCCUUGUGAGUGAGCCUGGAAGUGGACCUCCUGCUCUUGAACCUUGAGGUGACUAUAGUGCUGGCUGACACCUUGACUGCAGUCCCUGAGCUGGGGGGCCCAGCUGAUCUACUCCCAGAAUCCCCCCUACUAAAACAGUGAUAUAAUAAAUGCUUAUUGUUUCAAGCUGGUA
Molecule: long non-coding RNA, 899 nt
Filed under: Homo sapiens (human)
Lineage: Eukaryota; Metazoa; Chordata; Mammalia; Primates; Hominidae
Description: HSALNT0380898
Source: RNAcentral